This 510-nucleotide ribosomal RNA is filed under the name uncultured bacterium. RNAcentral describes it as "partial 16S ribosomal RNA". It matches the Rfam family "Bacterial small subunit ribosomal RNA", at positions 355 to 857 of the family's 1533-position model. The record is from RNAcentral.
UGGGGAAUUUUGGACAAUGGGCGAAAGCCUGAUCCAGCAAUGCCGCGUGUGUGAAGAAGGCCUUCGGGUUGUAAAGCACUUUCAGCGAGGAGGAAGGUGGUGAACUUAAUACGUUCAUCAAUUGACGUUACUCGCAGAAGAAGCACCGGCUAACUCCGUGCCAGCAGCCGCGGUAAUACGGAGGGUGCAAGCGUUAAUCGGAAUUACUGGGCGUAAAGCGCACGCAGGCGGUUUGUUAAGUCAGAUGUGAAAUCCCCGGGCUCAACCUGGGAACUGCAUUUGAAACUGGCAAGCUAGAGUCUCGUAGAGGGGGGUAGAAUUCCAGGUGUAGCGGUGAAAUGCGUAGAGAUCUGGAGGAAUACCGGUGGCGAAGGCGGCCCCCUGGANGAAGACUGACGCUCAGGUGCGAAAGCGUGGGGAGCAAACAGAUUAGNUACCCUGGUAGUCACGCUGUAAACGAUGUCGAUUUUGGAGGUUGUGCCCCUUGAGGCGUGGNUUCCGGAGCUAACG